RNAcentral lists this long non-coding RNA (249 nucleotides) under Capra hircus (goat). RNAcentral's name for it is "lncRNA (ENSCHIG00000004960.1)". The record is from RNAcentral. Lineage: Eukaryota; Metazoa; Chordata; Mammalia; Artiodactyla; Bovidae.
CUGGAACUUUGCCUACGGUUGGGAUUUUCAUACCAUAGAAACUGGCAGAUACUAAUUUUUUUCUAAAGAUCUGUAGUUAAAAAUUUGCCUGAUUUAAAGGUUGUGAGAAGGGGACGACCCAGGAUGAGAUGGCUGGAUGGCAUCAUGGACUCGAUGGAUGGGAUCUUCCCGACCCAGGGAUGGAACCCCAGCCUCCAGGAAACGUCACAGCUGUCCGGUGACUCCUGCUCAGCAUCACUCUUGCAGUGA